Molecule: microRNA precursor, 62 nt
Filed under: Xyrichtys novacula (pearly razorfish)
Lineage: Eukaryota; Metazoa; Chordata; Actinopteri; Labriformes; Labridae
Rfam family: mir-9/mir-79 microRNA precursor family
About the family: The mature ~21nt miRNAs are processed from hairpin precursor sequences represented here. miR-9 is processed from the 5' arm of its precursor, and miR-79 from the 3' arm. The bounds of the precursors are predicted based on conservation and base pairing and are not generally known.
Source: RNAcentral
ACUUUCGGUUAUCUAGCUUUAUGACAGGGAUUUAACACUCAUACAGCUAGAUAACCAAAGAC